Molecule: ribosomal RNA, 768 nt
Filed under: uncultured bacterium
Lineage: Bacteria
Description: bacterial SSU rRNA
Rfam family: Bacterial small subunit ribosomal RNA
Source: RNAcentral
GCGAGCUUAACACAUGCAAGUCGAACGGGAAUUACUUUAUUGAAACUUCGGUCGAUUUAAUUUAAUUCUAGAGGCGGACGGGAGAGUAACGCGAGGGUAACCUGCCUUAUACAGGGGGAUAACAGUCAGAAAUGGCUGCUAAUACCGCAUAAGCGCACAGAGCUGCAUGGCUCAGUGUGAAAAACUCCGGUGGGUAUAAGAUGGACCCGCGUUGGAUUAGCUGGUUGGUGGGGGUAACGGCCCACCAAGGCGACGAUCCAUAGCCGGCCUGAGAGGGUGAACGGCCACAUUGGGACUGAGACACGGCCCAGACUCCUACGGGAGGCAGCAGUGGGGAAUAUUGCACAAUGGGGGAAACCCUGAUGCAGCGACGCCGCGUGAAGGAAGAAGUAUCUCGGUAUGUAAACUUCUAUCAGCAGGGAAGAUAGUGACGGUACCUGACUAAGAAGCCCCGGCUAACUACGUGCCAGCAGCCGCGGUAAUACGUAGGGGGCAAGCGUUAUCCGGAUUUACUGGGUGUAAAGGGAGCGUAGACGGUGUGGCAAGUCUGAUGUGAAAGGCAUGGGCUCAACCUGUGGACUGCAUUGGAAACUGUCAUACUUGAGUGCCGGAGGGGUAAGCGGAAUUCCUAGUGUAGCGGUGAAAUGCGUAGAUAUUAGGAGGAACACCAGUGGCGAAGGCGGCUUACUGGACGGUAACUGACGUUGAGGCUCGAAAGCGUGGGGAGCAAACAGAAUUAGAUACCCUGGUAGUCCACGCCGUAAACGA